UUCGUCUUCUUCUAAUCUAGAGAAGAAUCAAUACAAAUCCAUCGUCUCUUCUUCCAUCUCCACCUUCUGCUUCGAGCUUGUUGUGCCUUUCAAUGGCUUCUUCCUCCAAUCCCUCAUUGUUGCUUCAUCUGCUACUCGUUCAACGUUGUUUAUUCCAUUGGAUUCCUGGCGUUCAUGCUGCACUCUCGUCCUGUUUUCACCGUCUACAGGAUGAAAUGUUCGAUCAGUCAUUUGAAUCCAUUUUAUCAGAAAAGUUACUCAUCUCUGCUAUCAGGAUCUACAUGCGGCAACCUCGUCUACAGGUCGGCUGAAUAGAUCUCAGUGCGAUGACUGAUUUGAAUUUUGAAGUGGUUUGACGGUCAUCUUCUUGCACAGAUUUUAGUAAAGAAGCUAUUUCAUUCUGUCUCAAAUUUACAUAACACUUAUCAAGAAGUUACGAUACACAAGCUUACAAAGUCAAGAUCGAAACCAAAAUCCUCAAGUCCUUGGAAUGAUGCAAGAGAUGACAGAAGUAGUGUAAGAUAACCACACUUAGAUUGAACACAAACUCCCAACACAGUUCAAGAAGCUUUAGGAAGACAGCUCAAUGGAAAGCAUCCACUCUGGAGGAGUCACAAGCUCUUAAAAAAGGCAUUGUUGGAUGUGGAUGGUUAAAUACUCUUCAGGUACUCCUCUCUAUCGCAACAAAUAUAAAUGGACCAAUUAUUUCAACUUUAUGUCAAAAAUAUUCUUCUCAAUAGUGAAGGUGGAAGAAGGG
Molecule: long non-coding RNA, 757 nt
Organism: Cucurbita pepo subsp. pepo (vegetable marrow)
Lineage: Eukaryota; Viridiplantae; Streptophyta; Magnoliopsida; Cucurbitales; Cucurbitaceae
Source: RefSeq, a predicted model, not a curated record